AUUGAACGCUGGCGGCAGGCCUAACACAUGCAAGUCGAGCGGAUGAAGGGAGCUUGCUCCUGGAUUCAGCGGCGGACGGGUGAGUAAUGCCUAGGAAUCUGCCUGGUAGUGGGGGAUAACGUCCGGAAACGGGCGCUAAUACCGCAUACGUCCUGAGGGAGAAAGUGGGGGAUCUUCGGACCUCACGCUAUCAGAUGAGCCUAGGUCGGAUUAGCUAGUUGGUGGGGUAAAGGCCUACCAAGGCGACGAUCCGUAACUGGUCUGAGAGGAUGAUCAGUCACACUGGAACUGAGACACGGUCCAGCCUCCUACGGGAGGCAGCAGUGGGGAAUAUUGGACAAUGGGCGAAAGCCUGAUCCAGCCAUGCCGCGUGUGUGAAGACGGUCUUCGGAUUGUAAAGCACUUUAAGUUGGGAGGAAGGGCAGUAAGUUAAUACCUUGCUGUUUUGACGUUACCAACAGAAUAAGCACCGGCUAACUUCGUG
This 484-nucleotide ribosomal RNA is filed under the name uncultured bacterium. RNAcentral's name for it is "partial 16S ribosomal RNA". It matches the Rfam family "Bacterial small subunit ribosomal RNA", at positions 30 to 507 of the family's 1533-position model. The record is from RNAcentral.